Molecule: ribosomal RNA, 55 nt
Filed under: uncultured soil bacterium
Lineage: Bacteria
Description: partial 16S ribosomal RNA
Source: RNAcentral
AAUGACGGUACCGGGAGAAUAAGCCCCGGCUAACUCCGUGCCAGCAGCCGCGGUA